CCAGCGCAGCUCCACUUUGGAGCCUGGGCCGGGCUCGCGGGCAGAGCCGGCGGCGGCCACCCGUCGACCGCGGACUAGUGACACCGCAGAUCGAGCUCUCGGCGGGACCGGCGGUGCGCGGCGCCCACUCGGCCUGGACUCGGUUCGUCCACAAUCCCGACGCCGAGGGUCCCUUGGCAGACAUGGCAUAAGUAACUGCAACAGAGAUUCUUCCGUGGCAGUGUUGGGAAUGCGGAAACUGAAAACCUUCCUGAAAGGUUGAGGCAUCCAUCGAAAGGUGACUCGAGUCUGACAAUACAGU
Molecule: long non-coding RNA, 301 nt
Filed under: Dasypus novemcinctus (nine-banded armadillo)
Lineage: Eukaryota; Metazoa; Chordata; Mammalia; Cingulata; Dasypodidae
Description: lncRNA (ENSDNOG00000051132.1)
Source: RNAcentral